RNAcentral lists this ribosomal RNA (253 nucleotides) under uncultured bacterium. RNAcentral's name for it is "partial 16S ribosomal RNA". It matches the Rfam family "Bacterial small subunit ribosomal RNA", at positions 524 to 776 of the family's 1533-position model. The record is from RNAcentral.
UACGGGGGGGGCAAGCGUUGUUCGGAAUUACUGGGCGUAAAGGGCUCGUAGGCGGCCAACUAAGUCAGACGUGAAAUCCCUCGGCUUAACCGGGGAACUGCGUCUGAUACUGGAUGGCUUGAGGUUGGGAGAGGGAUGCGGAAUUCCAGGUGUAGCGGUGAAAUGCGUAGAUAUCUGGAGGAACACCAAUGGCGAAGGCAGAUCUCUGGGCCGUAACUGACGCUGAGGAGCGAAAGCAUGGGGAGCGAACAGG